This 454-nucleotide ribosomal RNA is filed under the name uncultured bacterium. Its description in RNAcentral is "bacterial SSU rRNA". It matches the Rfam family "Bacterial small subunit ribosomal RNA", at positions 340 to 786 of the family's 1533-position model. The record is from RNAcentral.
UACGGAAGGCAGCAGUGGGGAAUAUUGCACAAUGGGCGCAAGCCUGAUGCAGCCAUGCCGCGUGUAUGAAGAAGGCCUUCGGGUUGUAAAGUACUUUCAGUCGUGAGGAAGGUGUUAAGGUUAAUAACCUUAGCAAUUGACGUUAGCGACAGAAGAAGCACCGGCUAACUCCGUGCCAGCAGCCGCGGUAAUACGGAGGGUGCGAGCGUUAAUCGGAAUUACUGGGCGUAAAGGGCACGCAGGCGGUUAAUUAAGUUGGAUGUGAAAUCCCCGGGCUUAACCUGGGAAUGGCAUUCAAGACUGGUUAGCUAGAGUCUUGUAGAGGGGGUAGAAUUCCAUGUGUAGCGGUGAAAUGCGUAGAGAUGUGGAGGAAUACCGGUGGCGAAGGCGGCCCCUUGGACAAAGGCUGACGCUCAUGUGCGAAAGCGUGGGGAGCAAACAGGGAUUAGAUACC